CUCUAACGUGACACGUGAUUCAGUAGACAAGCUUUGUUUUCAUUUAUCCAAUUUAUGGUUAUAUUGAAAGCUCAUUACAACUACGAUUACUCCUAUUGUAUUCAUAAUGGCAUAUUGAUUCUGCCAAGUAUUUCCAUUGGCACCAACUUUUUCCAAUGGCAGGUCUUCUACCGUCCACCAGAGAUUUCGACGAUAUGUUGCAAAGAAAGUCGACAAGGACUCGGACAUCGACACAUAAGGAAAAAAGCUUGGAUUUACACCGGAAGAUACUCAUCGGUACAUAGCAACUAAUCACAAAACCCAGAAUGUAACAUAAUUAUGACGGAACUCUUCUAAUGCUCCGGGAUUGGCGAAAAGGUCAAAGGGAUUCUACCGUGGGAGGAGAUUUGAAGAAUGCUUUGGAGCAAUCUGGACAAAUUCGUCUUGCUGAUGAACUCUUUCCUUAAUUCCUUCCAGUCAGUAAAUACAUAAGCAUGAUAGGAAUCAGUACCAGUUCCAGAAAGAAGGAAUGGGGGGAUCAUGCUCUAUACUUUAAUGCAAUACUGUUUGAUCAAUUGCUACCAUAUAGUAAAUGUAUUAGACAUUGACUAAUAGGAUUAAUUUUUUCUUACAGUUUAAUUAUUUUGUGUUUUCAAUCUUUCUUUUAUCAGUCUUGUCUCACGUGUAAAGUGUUUGUGUGGGUGUUUGUAUGUCCAAUAUAUACAUAUAUCUGACUGCUUGGACCAAGAAGGAAUAUUACUUUACACAUAGUUUAGUACGGAUAAAUCUGACUAUUAUUGUCAUUGUUAUUGUUAUUACCAUAACAAUG
This is a long non-coding RNA of Strongylocentrotus purpuratus (purple sea urchin), 808 nucleotides long. RefSeq lists it as uncharacterized. NCBI's taxonomy places the organism in Eukaryota, Metazoa, Echinodermata, Echinoidea, Camarodonta, Strongylocentrotidae. The transcript has 3 exons. The record is from RefSeq and is a predicted model, not a curated record.